UGCCAGUAGUCAUAUGCUUGUCUCAAAGAUUAAGCCAUGCAUGUCUAAGUAUAAGCUUGUAUACGGUGAGACUGCGAAUGGCUCAUUAAAACAGUUAUAGUUUAUUUGCUGAACGUGUAUAUGGAUAACCGUAGCAAUUCUAGAGCUAAUACAUGCUGGUUGCGCUGCUCUGCAGCGUAGUAUUUAUUAGAUAAAAUGCCAUUGGCGCGAGCCAUGGAGGAAUCACAGUAACUUGUCGGACUUUUCGAAGUGAAGCAUUCAAGUUUCUGCCCUAUCAGCUUUCGAUGGUAGUGUAUUGGACUACCAUGGCGAUGACGGGUGACGGAGAAUUAGGGUUCGAUUCCGGAGAGGGAGCCUGAGAAAUGGCUACCACAUCUAAGGAAGGCAGCAGGCGCGCAAAUUACCCAAUCCUGACUCAGGGAGGUAGUGACAAGAAAUAACAACUCGGGGCUAUGUCUCGAGAUUGGAAUGAGAACAAUGCAAAAGCCUUAGCGAGGACCCAUUGGAGGACAAGUCUGGU
RNAcentral lists this ribosomal RNA (520 nucleotides) under uncultured Heterotrichida. RNAcentral's name for it is "SSU rRNA". It matches the Rfam family "Eukaryotic small subunit ribosomal RNA", at positions 15 to 565 of the family's 1831-position model. Lineage: Eukaryota; Ciliophora; Heterotrichea; Heterotrichida. The record is from RNAcentral.